Molecule: long non-coding RNA, 230 nt
Organism: Juglans microcarpa x Juglans regia
Lineage: Eukaryota; Viridiplantae; Streptophyta; Magnoliopsida; Fagales; Juglandaceae
Exons: 3
Source: RefSeq, a predicted model, not a curated record
UUUAUUGAGGAUGAUGUGCCAUUUAUAGUUGGAGCUUUCUGUGCAACUGUCUUCUAGAAGAUCUUAUUAAAGAGGCAGGGAGCCCUUUUGAGCACUUCACUAGUCCUGGCAUAAACACAAUCAACUAUUCACCACUACCUUCAUCACUUCACAACGAUCUUCAUGACAACCCCGUUGGACAAAAGCUGGAUGAACUUGACCGAUAGACUUCGUUCGCCUGCAUAUGUCGA